GGCGGUAUAGCUCAGGGGUGAAGCGCUCGCUUCGCAUGCGAGAAGUAUGUUGUUCGAUUCCCCAUAACUCCA
Non-coding RNA from Angiostrongylus costaricensis, 72 nucleotides. Lineage: Eukaryota; Metazoa; Nematoda; Chromadorea; Rhabditida; Metastrongylidae. The record is from Rfam.